AUUGAACGCUGGCGGCAGGCUUAACACAUGCAAGUCGAGCGGAGAGAGGUAGCUUGCUACUGAUCUUAGCGGCGGACGGGUGAGUAAUGCUUAGGAAUCUGCCUAUUAGUGGGGGACAACAUUUCGAAAGGAAUGCUAAUACCGCAUACGUCCUACGGGAGAAAGCAGGGGAUCUUCGGACCUUGCGCUAAUAGAUGAGCCUAAGUCGGAGUAGCUAGGUGGUGGGGUAAAGGCCUACCAAGGCGGCGAUCUGUAGCGGGUCUGAGAGGAUGAUCCGCCACACUGGGACUGAGACACGGCACAGACUCCUACGGGAGGCAGCAGUGGGGAAUAUUGGACAAUGGGCGGAAGCCUGAUCCAGCCAUGCCGCGUGUGUGAAGAAGGCCUUAUGGUUGUAAAGCACUUUAAGUGAGGAGGAGGCUACUUUAGUUAAUACCUAGAGAUAGUGGACGUUACUCGCAGAAUAAGCACCGGCUAACUCUGUGCCAGCCGCCGCAGUAA
This 501-nucleotide ribosomal RNA is filed under the name uncultured bacterium. RNAcentral describes it as "partial 16S ribosomal RNA". It matches the Rfam family "Bacterial small subunit ribosomal RNA", at positions 30 to 523 of the family's 1533-position model. The record is from RNAcentral.